This 402-nucleotide ribosomal RNA is filed under the name uncultured bacterium. Its description in RNAcentral is "bacterial SSU rRNA". It matches the Rfam family "Bacterial small subunit ribosomal RNA", at positions 355 to 773 of the family's 1533-position model. The record is from RNAcentral.
UAGGGAAUAUUGCAAAAUGGGCGAAAGCCCGAUGCAGCAACGCCGCGUGGGCGAUGAAGGCCUUCGGGUCGUAAAGCCCUUUUUGAGGGGAUGAGGAAGGACAGUACCCUCAGAAUAAGCCUCGGCUAACUACGUGCCAGCAGCCGCGGUAAAACGUAGGAGGCGAGCGUUAUCCGGAUUUACUGGGCGUAAAGCGCGUGCAGGCGGAUUGGAGAGUUGGAUGUGAAAGCUCCCGGCUUAACUGGGAGAGGUCGUUCAAUACUUCCAGUCUUGAGUGCAGUAGAGGGAAGUGGAAUUCCGGGUGUAGUGGAGAAAUGCGUAGAUAUCCGGAGGAACACCAGUGGCGAAAGCGGCUUCCUGGACUGUAACUGACGCUCAGACGCGAAAGCUAGGGUAGCAAAC